CAUAGCAAGCAUCAAGAAAGCAAGGCAAGUAGAGGAAGAGGCGGUGGUGGGGACUUGCCGGCACCACUUCGGCGAGGUCGCUGGUGACAGAGCUGUGGUGGACUCCAGCAGGUUCCCACCAUCCCCCUCUCCCAACUCCCAGUCUCUGAUUUUUUUUUAUUUUUUUUUAAGUCUUGUAAAUCGAAUCGACGGGGCUGUCAUUCAAGCUUCCCGGCCUUCAAUCAAGCUUCCUGCGUUCAAGGAUGUGGAUGCAAUUGUUUGUUUGCUAAUCUCGAUGACCAUCGGUCCCUCGAGGAGUAUAGUGCGAAGGUUAGAGUCUAAGUUCUAGUGAGGUGAUCAUCAAGAAAGGCUCAAACGGGAACUAUGAAAGACGAUAACCAAAAAUUUAUUGCAUACCAAGACAGUUGAUGUCGGACCCCCUCUAGUGAGGCCCCCUCACAUUCCUAUCACAGCACACGCCAUGGAAGCUACAAGUUCAGGAACUGCUGUUAGGUUUGCAGCAUAUUUCCAAUCAAUGGGACAUCCACCUAACUGAACUGUAGAUUAAAGAAGCUCAUCUACCACAUUUUGGAAACAAUUAGUGGAAACAAAGCUUGGUUUAGUUAUGUUUGUUCCAAAAUGAUACUAAUUGAUACCAUUUUGGGUUUGAUACAUGUUAGAUUGCCAAAGAUAUUGCAUUUUUCUGUACUUUUUGUGUAGCUACUUUGGCAAAGUAACGUGUACAAUCUCUUGUAAAAACUUAUCUAUAAUAAUAAUAUAGUCAUUUUUGUAAUUCCA
Molecule: non-coding RNA, 777 nt
Organism: Punica granatum (pomegranate)
Lineage: Eukaryota; Viridiplantae; Streptophyta; Magnoliopsida; Myrtales; Lythraceae
Source: RefSeq, a predicted model, not a curated record